Molecule: ribosomal RNA, 273 nt
Filed under: Vitrella brassicaformis
Lineage: Eukaryota; Vitrellaceae
Description: partial Eukaryotic small subunit ribosomal RNA
Rfam family: Eukaryotic small subunit ribosomal RNA
Source: RNAcentral
GUUAAUUCCGUUAACGAACGAGACCCCUGCCUGCUAAAUAAUCCGCCGAAUGCUUUUUGCAUUGGGUAGGGUUUCUUAGAGGGACGUCCAAGAUCAACUUGGAGGAGGAUAGGGGCAAUAACAGGUCUGUGAUGCCCUUAGAUGUCCUGGGCCGCACGCGCGCUACACUGAUGCAUUCAACGAGUUUAUAACCUUGGCCGAGAGGCCUGGGCAAUCUUUUGAAUGUGCAUCGUGAUAGGGAUAGAUUAUUGCAAUUAUUAAUCUUGAACAAGG